This 73-nucleotide transfer RNA is filed under the name Rana dybowskii. RNAcentral's name for it is "tRNA-Leu". It matches the Rfam family "tRNA". Rfam says of the family: Transfer RNA (tRNA) molecules are approximately 80 nucleotides in length. Their secondary structure includes four short double-helical elements and three loops (D, anti-codon, and T loops). Lineage: Eukaryota; Metazoa; Chordata; Amphibia; Anura; Ranidae. The record is from RNAcentral.
GUUAGUAUGGCAGAGCUCGGCUAUGCAAGAGACCUAAGUCCUCUCGACCGGGGUUCAAAUCCCCCUAUUAACU